This 614-nucleotide ribosomal RNA is filed under the name Penicillium aurantiogriseum. RNAcentral describes it as "eukaryotic LSU rRNA". It matches the Rfam family "Eukaryotic large subunit ribosomal RNA", at positions 38 to 667 of the family's 3401-position model. The record is from RNAcentral. Lineage: Eukaryota; Fungi; Ascomycota; Eurotiomycetes; Eurotiales; Aspergillaceae.
GCAUAUCAAUAAGCGGAGGAAAAGAAACCAACAGGGAUUGCCCCAGUAACGGCGAGUGAAGCGGCAAGAGCUCAAAUUUGAAAGCUGGCUCCUUCGGGGUCCGCAUUGUAAUUUGCAGAGGAUGCUUCGGGAGCGGUCCCCAUCUAAGUGCCCUGGAACGGGACGUCAUAGAGGGUGAGAAUCCCGUAUGGGAUGGGGUGUCCGCGCCCGUGUGAAGCUCCUUCGACGAGUCGAGUUGUUUGGGAAUGCAGCUCUAAAUGGGUGGUAAAUUUCAUCUAAAGCUAAAUAUUGGCCGGAGACCGAUAGCGCACAAGUAGAGUGAUCGAAAGAUGAAAAGCACUUUGAAAAGAGAGUUAAAAAGCACGUGAAAUUGUUGAAAGGGAAGCGCUUGCGACCAGACUCGCUCGCGGGGUUCAGCCGGCAUUCGUGCCGGUGUACUUCCCCGCGGGCGGGCCAGCGUCGGUUUGGGCGGUCGGUCAAAGGCCCUCGGAAGGUAACGCCCCUAGGGGCGUCUUAUAGCCGAGGGUGCAAUGCGACCUGCCUAGACCGAGGAACGCGCUUCGGCUCGGACGCUGGCAUAAUGGUCGUAAGCGACCCGUCUUGAAACACGGACC